Molecule: unclassified non-coding RNA, 240 nt
Filed under: soil metagenome
Description: partial contains 5.8S ribosomal RNA, internal transcribed spacer 2, and large subunit ribosomal RNA
Source: RNAcentral
AAGACUAUAGACCUGCGGAGUACCUGCGGAGGGAUCAUUAUAGAGUGGUAAACCCCCCGUAAAAGGGGGGGACCUCCUGUCCUUUGUAGGCUCUUUUUUAAAAGGGCUUUUUUUAAUUUUCUGCUUCGGUGGGGUUAUCCCACCGGAACAACCUCAAAACUCUUAUCAAAAAAUCGUUCUGUCUGAGAACCUUUUAUAAUAAAAAAAAACUUUCAACAACGGAUCUCUAGAUCGGAAGAG